RNAcentral lists this long non-coding RNA (2445 nucleotides) under Vitis vinifera (wine grape). RNAcentral describes it as "long non-coding RNA (VVIN_LNC003764)". The record is from RNAcentral. Lineage: Eukaryota; Viridiplantae; Streptophyta; Magnoliopsida; Vitales; Vitaceae.
UCAGGAAUCACAAGGCCAAUGGUUUGAGGCGAGUUUUGACUUACAUAUAAAUCCAGCAUGCACAAGUCAUGAAGUUCACAUUUCAUGUUAAUAUAAAGGAAAAAAAUAGUAUCCAUGAUCUGAUCAUAGUUUAAAAGGCGCACUUUAAGCACGCCUAGGCUCAAGGUGCCACCACUCCCUAGUUAUAGCAACUUGCUUGCCAAGAUACACACCUUCUUGAAAAGGUGUGCCUUGUCAGCUUUACUCUUCCUUUUUAAACACUUUUAUUCUUGAAAUUUCUAAUUAUAUACUGAAAUUUAUAUAAUUUCAUUACUUUUUUGUUGAAUGAUUCUUUUAAAUGUUUCAAAUCUUAAAUUUUUUAUUGAUCGGAUUAGCUUAUGAAUCAUAUUUUACAAAAUUGACGUGUAUCAUAGGUCGCAUUUCACUUCACUCAGUCGCCCCUUGUGUUGCGCCUUGCAUUUAAGCUAUUGGAGACUUUUGCACCUUAGAUGUGCCUUGCACCUUAGAUGUGCCUUGCACCUUUUAAAACUAUGGAUUUGAUAAAUGCCGAUAGUAUUUACAUUGCACUAAAAACACAGUUUGAUUUGAAGCAUUUAACCACCUCUCUGAACAUUCUAUUUCCAAUGCAUUCUGAAAAUAUAACCUAUCAUAAAAGUUAAAAGUUGAUCAUACCUAUGAGUUAGGGGUGCAUAUUGGACAGGUUGGUCCGACCCAACCUCAACUUGAUCUACUUGGAUGGGUUUGAGCAAGCUUUUUUAAUACUCAGGUUGGGCUUGAGCAAAGGGUUUGGGCAACCCAAGCCUUAAUUGAACCCGAUUUAAUAUUUUGUAAAAUUUAUAAUGUAUUUAAGUUUCUUCAUAUAUAUGCUUUUCAAAAGAAAAGUAAAGGAAAAAUGUCAAAGUUAAUAGAUUUAUUUUUCUUUUUUGUUAUUAUGUAGAAAUAAUGUCAUUUACGAUUUAAAUUUUGAUAUAAAUAUAUUAAAGAUAAAGUUAAAAAAGCCAAUGCAGGCAGGUUCAAACCAGGCCAAUGGAACCCUACUUAACCUGAAUUUGACCCAUAACCAAGCCUAACCUGAACUCAACCCGAAAUUAAAUCAGGUUGGUUGAGCUGAAGUUGAAUACCUUGGGUAAUAGGUCAGGUUAAGUUCAGGUUAAUCGUUUAUUCAUUUGGGUUGGGGCAGGUUGGUACCAAACCAACCCAACUGACACAAGUUGCAUCCUCACUAAGACUGGAAUCAUCAUAUUGAGUUGAUUAUUAAUUAGCUUGACUUCCUAAAUGGGACCCAUUAGAUGUUGGAUCUUAAUUCUUUUCUUCAUUUUGAUUUAACAUGAGUUUAUUGAGAACUUAAUAAAUUGUAUAGGCUGACUAUACAAUACAAUUUUGCUUGGGAGGCUACUUGGGAGAAGGUCCUAACCUUGGACAGGCUUCAAAGACGGGGCUGGCAUCUUCCAAAUCGGUGUUUUUUGUGUGGUUGUGAAGAGGAAAAUGUAAAUCAUAUUCUUUUACACUGUAUAGUUGUAAGGGCUCUCUGGGAGAUUGUCUUGGCCUUGUUUGGGGCUAAUUGGGUGUUCCCAGAGACAGUCAAAGAGAUGUUAGUUAGUUGGAGGGGCCCUUUUGUGGGGAGAAAGAGGAAAAUGAUUUGGACUUCCAUUCCGUUGUGUAUUUUUUGGACGGUAUGGAAGGAGAGAAAUAGAUUAGCUUUCAGGGGGGGCUCUCUAGCUAUUCAGAAGUUAAAAAAUUCUUUUGUUUGUAACUUGUGGAGUUGGGCUAGGGUGUAUAUGGGAGAGGAGUCCUCUUCGCUUUUAGGUUUUUUGGAAUGGCUUGCCGUUCCCUAAGGGGUGGUGAGUGUUUGUUCUCUUGUUUUUGCUUAGGCUUCUUUGUAUACUUCCUGUAUGCUUUGUGGUUUUUUGCCUAGUAAUAUAUUUGCACUCACUUAUCUAAAAAAAAUAAAUUGUAUAGGCUGACAGCUUGUUCUGCAUGCAAAUUAAUCCCUAGGAGAAACUCCCAUUUACAAAAUGCCACUAACAAUUUUCAGGUUGAUUUUGAGGUGAGGAUACUUUCUAGAUUAGAUCUAGUGAGGGAGUCUGGCAUCUCCCACUUCCACAUGGACCACCACCCAUUAACACAAAAGAAUGUGCAAUUGAUGUUAUGGCUACAAUCUCUCAUACCCAUAAAAUAACUAUGCUUACCUCUUUGAAGAUUUCACUGUAGGAAGCCUCCUCAAAGCCCUGCACAAACCAUACAUGGCAUUUAGUCAACAUAAUGACAAGAAGUUGAUGCAAGUAUGGAUGCAUAAAAGCACUUACGUGCCUCCUUACCUGCCCACAAGAGCAUGGAAGCCUUUUCAAUCUAAUUAAUAACUAACAUUGUCAUGAACAUGUUGAGAUGAGAAUAUGUGCAUGUGAAAGAGUGUGUGUGAGAAAGAGAUAGAUUGAUAGAUAGAUA